UAAUACGUAGNUCCCGAGCGUUGUCCGGAUUUAUUGGGCGCAAAGGGAGCGCAGGCGGUCAGGAAAGUNUGGAGUAAAAGGCUAUGGCUCANCCAUAGUGUGCUCUGGAAACUGUNUGACUUGAGUGCAGAAGGGGAGAGUGGAAUUCCAUGUGUAGCGGUGAAAUGCGUAGAUAUAUGGAGGAACACCAGUGGCGAAAGCGGCUCUCUGGUCUGUCACUGACGCUGAGGCUCGAAAGCGUGGGUAGCGAACAGGAUUAGAUACCCUGGUAGUCCACGCCGGAAACGAUGAGUGCUAGGUGUUAGGCCCUUUCCGGGGCUUAGUGCCGGAGCUAACGCAAUAAGCACUCCGCCUGGGGAGUACGACCGCAAGGUUGAAACUCAAAGGAAUUGACGGGGGCCCGCACAAGCGGUGGAGCAUGUGGUUUAAUUCGAAGCAACGCGAAGAACCUUACCAGGUCUUGACAUCCCGAUGCUAUUCUUAGAGAUAGGAAGUUACUUCGGUACAUCGGAGACAGGUGGUGCAUGGUUGUCGUCAGCUCGUGUCGUGAGAUGUUGGGUUAAGUCCCGCAACGAGCGCAACCCUUAUUGUUAGUUGCCAUCAUUAAGUUGGGCACUCUAGCGAGACUGCCGGUAAUAAACCGGAGGAAGGUGGGGAUGACGUCAAAUCAUCAUGCCCCUUAUGACCUGGGCUACACACGUGCUACAAUGGUCGGUACAACGAGUUGCGAGCCGGUGACGGCAAGCUAAUCUCUGAAAGCCGAUCUCAGUUCGGAUUGGAGGCUGCAACUCGCCUCCAUGAAGUCGGAAUCGCUAGUAAUCGCGGAUCAGCACGCCGCGGUGAAUACGUUCCCGGGCCUUGUACACACCGCCCGUCACACCACGAGAGUUUGUAACACCCGAAGUCGGUGAGGUAACCUUUUAGGGGCCAGCC
This 933-nucleotide ribosomal RNA is filed under the name uncultured bacterium. RNAcentral's name for it is "bacterial SSU rRNA". It matches the Rfam family "Bacterial small subunit ribosomal RNA", at positions 521 to 1454 of the family's 1533-position model. The record is from RNAcentral.